GUUGUCAUUUCAUUUAAUUUUUCUUUGUUUUUUUAAUUCCUAGGGUCCUCCUGCAUUGGUGCUCAGACAUUUAUAUUGAGCUUUGACUGAGAGGUUGUCAACAACCACAUCACUUUCUUCACAUCUGCCAUCUGCCUGAUGUUUGGCAGUUACUACUGCUUCAACAUACACUGCCUGGUAAAACUACAGUCCACACUUGAGUUCCUCCAACGGGAAAAAUUGAAUUCUUUAUCAUUAUUAGAAUUACAAAUAGUUCCUAGCAUACCCUGCAUGCAGUAAUACUGAGUAAACUCAGUAAAUAAGUACACAAGAAGAGUAAAAAAGUGUUAUUGGUCAGUCCCAGAGUCUUGACACUGAUCUCAGACCUUGCCAACCAUGAGUGGACCUACCAGUGAUGUCGAGGGAUGACGUUUGAUAUGAUAUACACUGCAGAUAUUUUGUUGUUAAGGGAGUUUCUUCUCAUCUACAGAGGCACCAAAGUUGAGUGUGAAAAGAAGAAAAUAAUCGCUGGCUUUUUCAAACUGUUACAGUUUGUGAGUAGAGUGUUUUUACGUUUUUACUGCAGUUUAUUGUGCUGGCAAAGUUGGAAAAGUUUGGACUUCAAAUAAAGAGUUUGUAUUGAAAAGUAC
Cynoglossus semilaevis (tongue sole) is the source of this 629-nucleotide long non-coding RNA. RefSeq lists it as uncharacterized. The record is from RefSeq and is a predicted model, not a curated record. NCBI's taxonomy places the organism in Eukaryota, Metazoa, Chordata, Actinopteri, Pleuronectiformes, Cynoglossidae. The transcript has 2 exons.